UACAAGCAUCUUUCAAUAAAUGGAAAAAGAAGCUGACUCUUCCUUUUAUAAUUGAUAGAAUGGGAAAGAAAAAGAAGACUUUGUCUUUUUUUCUGACUACGCUGUUUACGAUGAUCAGAGUUUAUGUGGCCUACGCUUUCUGCUGCUCUUCCUAUCGGGCUGAGCAAGACACUAUCCGGUUCUUUAGGCAUCUGUUCUACACUAGGGUAAACAAUUUCAUUAAAGCCUAAACACCUAAGGAGUAUCUUACAAAGAAAAGUGAAAGUGGAAGCAAAAACCUAGCUUGAAUUAUUGGUUGUUGAACAAGAUCAUAAUAUGAAAAUUGUUCGUUUUCAUAGCAUAAGUCCUUGAACACACUAAAGCAAGAAUUUCUCUUGAGAAUUGUAUAAUGUUUGCUUGAUUGCUCUCUCUCUCUUUUUAUUUUCUUUCUCUCAAAACCUUCUUUUCUUGCUUCAUUUUUAUAAUGGUCGAAUGCCAUUAUUGUGCUUUAAUAAAAAUGAGCGACAAUUGCAACAUAAACUACCUAAGGCAAUUUUAAGACAUUAAAAUAAAUUGCCCAAGACAAUUAACUUCAUAGGAUGUAAUCUACCAAUUAUGGGUGGUUACCAAUAGUUUCAUAUGCAUUGUAUGUUAUAUAUUAAACCUUAAUUAUUUUGGUAUUUGUUAAAUGAUUUAUGUUUAAUAAAUCUUGCUUAAAAUUUUAUCAUCUAAAUCUUUUCAAUUAAUUUAUAGUUUUAGUUUCUUUUAAAAAAAAUUGUUAGUGUUAAUUUCUUUAUAAAUUAAUGUAAAAAUAAAAUGUAUAUGUUCUAAUCGUAAAAAAAAUAACUUAAUUUAAAUUUAGAUUUGAUCCUAAAUAUCAUAUAUGUUGAAGUUAGUGGGAGUUAAUAGGUAGUUAGUUUUGGCACAUUUUAUAUGUAAAAGAUUGAUAAUUCAAUUAAUUUUGAUUUUGUUGAAAAUGUUCUCCUGUUGAAACAUUAUAAAUUUUAAA
Molecule: long non-coding RNA, 988 nt
Filed under: Durio zibethinus
Lineage: Eukaryota; Viridiplantae; Streptophyta; Magnoliopsida; Malvales; Malvaceae
Description: long non-coding RNA (DZIB_LNC002122)
Source: RNAcentral